RNAcentral lists this ribosomal RNA (253 nucleotides) under uncultured bacterium. RNAcentral describes it as "partial 16S ribosomal RNA". It matches the Rfam family "Bacterial small subunit ribosomal RNA", at positions 524 to 776 of the family's 1533-position model. The record is from RNAcentral.
UACGUAGGGUGCGAGCGUUGUCCGGAAUUAUUGGGCGUAAAGGGCUCGUAGGCGGUUUGUCGCGUCGGGAGUGAAAAUCCAGGGCUUAACUCUGGACUGGCUUCCGAUACGGGCAGACUAGAGGUAUGCAGGGGAGAACGGAAUUCCUGGUGUAGCGGUGAAAUGCGUAGAUAUUGGGAGGAACACCGGUGGCGAAGGCGGCCCCCUGGGCUGGUAUUGACGCUGAUGCGCGAAAGUGUGGGGAGCGAACAGG